GUCCUCCAGCUGGCGCGAGCGCUGCGCCCGCCCUAGUCCCCGCCGCCUGGCUCCGGCCCGCGCCCUUCUCGCCGCGCACCUGAGCCGAGCUCCCCGGCGGCCGCCGAGCCGCGCCGGAGCUCCGGUUCGCUUCCCGCGCGCCGCCGCCAACGCCGCCCACGCCGCUGCCGUUCGUGCGGGGCCGCUGCCCAGGUGCCGCGGGAGGCCGGGUCCGCGGCCGCCGCUUCAGUGGCCCCGGCUCCCGCCCCGCCAAGGACGCCGGCCCGCGAGGAGGCAACUUUGCGUUCCCGCCGCCUUCCCGGCUCGCCCGCGGGCGCCGCUCGCCUGCCGGAGCCCGCCCGCCUGCCCGCCUUCCGCGCGCGCUCACACUCGCGCCUCGCACACGGCCGCCCCCCGCACCGCCCCGCCACGCACACAGCGCUCCGCGCCCCCCGCCGCUGCCCGAGGCUUCCGCGCGCCGCCCUAGCCCGCGCCGCCCUGGCCGCGCCCGCCCCGUCCCAUCUCGUUCCAGCGGGGCGCCGCGGUUCCCAGGUCAGCGGCCGCCCGGGCCCGGCUGAGAGGUGCGGAGCGCAGAGCCCGCGGGCGGGUUAGCGCCCGGCGCCGGAGACCGGAGGGCUGGGGGAAAGCGGCGCCGGCCCUGCGUCCCCAGCCGACCCGGGCGCGGGGCGCCACAGGCGUGGGGCGCGGGGCAGCGGGCGCGGGGCGGCGCCGGCCCCGGGCGGCUCUCCCACUAGGGGUAGCUGUUGCCUGAACGCCGGAGCGCUCCCCUCUCGCCGCUUGCCUCGCCCAGCACAGCCCCGGCCGCCGGGCGCACCCGUCCCGUUCGUCCCCGGACGUUGUUCUGUACCCCGGGAACGUCGAGACUGGAGCGCCCGAACUGAGCCACCUUCGUGGACCCCGAGCGCGGCGGCGCGACUCACCGCGGAGGCGCCCGGACGCGUCAAUUGCGGGGACUUGUUUGGAGCGGUGGGGCCGGAGCCCAAAUCCGAAGCCGCCGCCACCAGCGUCCCGUGCGCCUGCGGCCCCGGGGACCAGCCGCCGAACUUCUUCUCAGGACGGAGACAGCGCUCGCCGCCCGGGCCGAGGCCCAGCCGAAUAGGAGGCUCUGAUCCACACUCUAGCCCCAGGGACGUUCAGGGAAGCAGCCCUUCCUUAGGGCUGUCAGCUGCCUUGGGGACCUGUUGCUGUGUCGUGGGCCCACAGACUGCACUCCAUACGUCAGGACGCCAGAACACUGGACAAGGCUCGAAGGCCCAUUUGGCUCCCUCAGCCUCUUGUGCAGACCCUCUCUCCUCCGGGGCAGCCCCUGUCUCUCCUUCCCAUCUCUCUCCAAGGCUGCACCCUUGGCUCACCUUAGACCUGGCUUUUCCUACCUGUUGCCCCUACUGUCUUAUCCUGUCCCAGUGGUCAGGAGGUAGAGUACCGGCCAAAGGCCCAGCUCUACCUAUGACUUAGAGGAGCACCAGGCAUCUCCUAGAGGUCCUGGUCCCCAGGGGCCUGGCAGGCUCUACUGGGGGGGAAGCAGAGUUAGAACUCGGGCUGCUUCUCCUGCCCCGCAGCCUGGCUGGGCCUCACCCGCCUCCCUUUCUGCCUGCCUUCUUACAACUCCAGCAGGGGGCGGGCAGGGGAAAGAAAAGGAGGGACAAGUUGGAUGGGGUCCAUCUGGUGUCCAGGAGCAAAUUGGAGAGAGGCGGGGAGGAG
Long non-coding RNA from Callithrix jacchus (white-tufted-ear marmoset), 1701 nucleotides. NCBI's taxonomy places the organism in Eukaryota, Metazoa, Chordata, Mammalia, Primates, Cebidae. The record is from Ensembl.